Non-coding RNA from Oryzias latipes (Japanese medaka), 3362 nucleotides. Lineage: Eukaryota; Metazoa; Chordata; Actinopteri; Beloniformes; Adrianichthyidae. The record is from RefSeq and is a predicted model, not a curated record.
ACAUAUGUCGAUAUACAUCCAGUCCGCCACCAGAUGCUGCUGUUCUGUGUGGUUUCAAAGCCCUGAACGGGUGGUUCAUUUUUCCCACACAAUUAGAUGAACCCCCAGUGAGGCUUCAUGGGGCUUCUAUUCCCAUCCCUAGUAAAAGGACUCAAAUGAUUAAAAGCUUUAGUAAAAAGGUCCACAUGUCAAGCUCACCCACCAAAGCCAAACCAGGAAACCAGCAUCCAGAUGGAACUCCCACAGCUGCUAUUUAUCAGCCUUGUGAGCCAAUCACAGCUCAACAGACAGGUGCUGGCCAUGAAUAUUAACCUAUGGAACACCAUGAGGGACAAACUACCACCCACAGCCCUGUCUGCCACAUGAGGAUGUCAUCAAGAAGGGACAACAGUAGGGAAAGGGACUGAACCAAGUGAACAGCUUCCUCUCUUCAGCAGACACAUGUUCCGAGUACAAGUGUGUCAAAAGCUGACAUCCUCACCGUUCAGGCCGGUGAUUGGAACAAGCGGAAGCCAGAAAAGUUGGACCAGACAUUACCAAAAUGAUACUCCCAGAUUAUGGUGCCAUGAUAAAAAAAAGGCUUUAUGAUGUCAUGCUGCUGACCAUACUGUGAUUGGUGAAGUCCAGCAGUGCUGGGGGUCCUUGAAGUGUUGUUUGAGAGCAUCUCCUCCCUGCUUCUGGAAGGCAGCACAGAGGCAUUAAUGGAGUGAGGACGUGAAGGACUAACUGUCUGCCGAGGAGGAGAUCAUGUACAGCGCCUGCAAAAGUAUUUGGCCCCCUUGAACUUUUCAACCUUUUGCCAAAUUUCAGGCUUUAAACACAAAAAUAUAAAGCUGACAUUUUUUGUGAAGAAACAACAUCAAGUGGGACACAAUCAUGAAGUGUAAAAAAUUUAUUGGAUAUUUCAAACUUGUUUAACAAAUAAAAACCGGAAAUAUUGGACAAAAUUAUUUAGCCCUUUUUACUUUCAGUGCAGCAAAGUCUCUCCAGGUGUUCAGUGAGGAUCUCUGAAUGAUCCAAUGUUUGACCUAAAUGACCAAUGAGGAUAAAUAGAAUCCACCUAUUCAAGUCUCCAUAUCAAUGCACCUGCUCUGUGAUAGUCUCAGAGAGAGCAUCAUGAAGAACUGGGAACACACCAGGCAGGUCCAAGAUUUUUUUUUCAAGCACUGAGACGCUGUCAGCGCCCAGGAAACAGGCUGUACUUUUACUAUAUUAAGCACCUUUUGACCCAACAGUCACAGAUAAGUGUGACAGAGAUACUAUUUACUUUACUGUUUUACACAAGGACACUGUGAUACAGUGUGUGAAGGGACUGUUGAUUAAACCAGUUGUGGACACCCCCCUCCUUAUGAACACCUUCAGCACCACCGCGGCCCAGGUUAUCAGUCCAGCAUUUCGUCUCCAUCCCUCAGCCUUGGACUUUGCAUCCAACAUGUGAGCCACACGGGAGGGGGGGUUCGACCGCAUGUGGUCAGGCUUGCAGGGCUUUCAGUUGUUUUUUCCACAAAAGUGGAACUAUUAGAGAAAGAAUGCAUAUUUACUGUCCCAGUUCUGACCAUGCAGUUGUUUUUAUGCAACAAUAAAAGUCUAAUCAAAGUGUCACGGGUAAAAAAGGUGUAUCUUUUUGAAAGUGACAAAGCUGUGAUGUUAACCUUAAACAUCUGAUUUACUACAAAACAUAAUCUGGUAGUUUACAAACUACCACAAAGAUGCAGAGAUGUUAAUUUGUUUAAAUUAAACUUUUAAGAUCUGCUGAAAAACCAUGCUCCUAAAAAUACAAAAAAAGCUAAAAAAGAAAAUCCUAAAGCUAUAUCACCAGCACAGAAAUGUAUGUACUUGUGAUUUUUACAUUUUUUUUCUUUGUAAUUUUCUUUUUUAAUAGAAAAGUAGUUUAUGAAUUUCCUCCUUAAAUGUGAAUCAGAACCCGUCAAAGGUCAAACAGAAGUGGUAUCCUGUGUCCUUACUGUACUUUCUAAAAUAAAAUACCCCAAAAUAUUUCUGUGUUCCUCCACAAAAACAAGGUAAAUAUGACCACAGGCUCGCUGUUUUGCCCUUUUCCUCGUCUGUGGCCUCAAUCCUGCUGUGAACUCUGCUUUUCGAAGAAAAAUCUGGCUCCCCCGGGGGGAAAGCACAGGGAGGGCAGGACUUCUGUCUCAUGUUACGAAGCCAGACUGUGCAAAAAGUAUACGUCCAAUGGAGACCUGUACAGUAACAGGCCUGGCCCCAAGUGGGAGGAGGGAAGAGAGGAAAAAAAACAGUAAUUUCUGGGAAGUCUCUAAGUUCAACAAAAGACGGUUUCACUCACUGUCUGUGUAAAAACGGCUUCAAGGUCAACCACAAGAGUAAAAAAAUGACUUUCUCUGCCGGCAGACAUGUAUUAGAGUAAAAAUAAAAAAUGUGUUGUUAUAUAUUUGCUUUUAUGAGUUUUACCUUAAAAUGUGAACAAAAAUUGAGAAAAGUAUCCAUAACUGUUGACCUACAAGGUCCUAAUCUGUAUUUUUUAUCAUUACCAUUAAAAUAUCAAUGAACAAUGUUUACUCGCUCAUUUUAAAACUAAGUGUAAACCUUUACAAAUUGUACAUUAAACUUUUUUAUAAGCAAUGAAAACAUUCAUUCUUCUAUUCAUUCAUACCUUCUUCUAAUCCGUUUAGUCCCUUUCGGGGUGCCCGGGCUGCUGGAGCCUAUCCCAGCCACUUGUGGGCGAAGGCUGGGGACACCCUGGACAAGUCGCUAUUCUGUCACAGGCCCACAAAUACACAAUCACACACCCAUGCACACCUAUGGACAAUAACGAGUAACCAAUUAACCUAUGAAGCAUGAUUUUAGAAAGAGAACAUGUUCUGUUCCUGGUCCCCCAGCCGGGACUUGAACCAGGGGCCUUCUUUCUCAGGCAACCGCAAUAAGCACUGCUCCACCGUGCAGCCGCAACAAAACCAGAAAAAUCCAAUUCUAUAAUAAAUAGCAGCAUUUGUUUAUUUACAGAACAUUCAAUCAUUAACAAAACCAGUACAGAACAAAUAUGUACACUUAUAAACAACAUAUUUACAAGCUGAAUGGAAACAGAACUUGUGCCAUUUUGUCCUCACAAGCUGACAAACCCAGAAACCCUGGUCAGCUGUUUCACCCUCACUUUUCAACCAUUCAUGCUUAUUUACUCCCACAACACAAAUACAGAUCCAAAAGGUAGUUGUUGUCUCCCUGUGCCAUUUCCCAGAAAAAAAGGGGAAUUUAAAAACAAACACGCAAACACCGGGGAGACCCAAGAGCCAUUUGAACAGGAAUGCUGGCAUGACGGGGACACAAAUACAUGUGCCACGGUACAGCGGUUUGGUGGCAUCAAAGCUUUUUAACAACAUGAAAAA